GUUUCUGACAGGAGAUGUGACUGCUCCUCCUCUCAUACAGGCGCCUCGGACACAUCGGGGAGUACACAGGGCCUUGACAAAUUAAGUUCCGGAAUCUUCUGGAGAUCCAGCGGAAUGUGAAACUGGAAACACCCAAAUGCAGUCAGUGCAUUGGAAGUUGAAGAUAAAAGAAUUGCAAUGUCACAUGCAGGAGUCGGCUUUGCACCUAAGGGCAAGUUAAUUGCAUUAAUUUUUCCUGACGACUUCACGAAAGCAACACUGUCCGUGGUGUGUAGAACAUCUCACCAUUUUUCAACCAUGAUGAAAUUAGUGCAAAUUGUUCUUUCUGGCUAUAAUCAAUCAGUACUUUUAUCCAGUGCCACAGAAUACUGAUGAAAACAUUUUUUUUUCUCACUUGAAGGCAAACACCUCCUGAUUGUGUGUUGAACUGCUCUGUAAAUAUAUCUCACAAGGGCUCCUCUGUGCAUUAGGAAGACUUCAGGAGAAUAAACAUCUGUUUUUUCUGA
Molecule: long non-coding RNA, 506 nt
Organism: Paramormyrops kingsleyae
Lineage: Eukaryota; Metazoa; Chordata; Actinopteri; Osteoglossiformes; Mormyridae
Source: RefSeq, a predicted model, not a curated record